GACGAACGCUGGCGGCGUGCUUAACACAUGCAAGUCGAGCGGUAAGGCCCUUUCGGGGGUACGACGAGCGGCGAACGGGUGAGUAACACGUGGGUGACCUGCCCUUAGCUCUGGGAUAAGCCUGGGAAACUGGGUCUAAUACCGGAUAUGACUCCAUAACGCAUGUUGUGGGGUGGAAAGCCUUGUGCGGCUAGGGAUGGGCCCGCGGCCUAUCAGCUUGUUGGUGGGGUGAUGGCCUACCAAGGCGACGACGGGUAGCCGGCCUGAGAGGGCGACCGGCCACACUGGGACUGAGACACGGCCCAGACUCCUACGGGAGGCAGCAGUGGGGAAUCUUGCGCAAUGGGCGAAAGCCUGACGCAGCGACGCCGCGUGGGGAUGACGGCC
RNAcentral lists this ribosomal RNA (387 nucleotides) under uncultured bacterium. RNAcentral's name for it is "bacterial SSU rRNA". It matches the Rfam family "Bacterial small subunit ribosomal RNA", at positions 28 to 416 of the family's 1533-position model. The record is from RNAcentral.